RNAcentral lists this ribosomal RNA (301 nucleotides) under uncultured bacterium. Its description in RNAcentral is "partial 16S ribosomal RNA". It matches the Rfam family "Bacterial small subunit ribosomal RNA", at positions 509 to 808 of the family's 1533-position model. The record is from RNAcentral.
CAGUAGCCACGGGUAAUACAGAGGGUGCGAGCGUUAAUCGGAUUUACUGGGCGUAAAGCGUGCGUAGGCGGCUUUUUAAGUCGGAUGUGAAAUCCCUGAGCUUAACUUAGGAAUUGCAUUCGAUACUGGGAAGCUAGAGUAUGGGAGAGGAUGGUAGAAUUCCAGGUGUAGCGGUGAAAUGCGUAGAGAUCUGGAGGAAUACCGAUGGCGAAGGCAGCCAUCUGGCCUAAUACUGACGCUGAGGUACGAAAGCAUGGGGAGCAAACAGGAUUAGAUACCCCAGUAGUCCCUGUCUCUUAUA